AUUUUUUAGCCACAGCUGCCUUGCAGCAAUGACCAAGUUCCUCUGUAAUCUCAGCUCUGAUCAAGGGCAAUUUAAACAAGAAAGCCAAAAGCAGCCACAGACCACACAGAGAUAGAUGACUCUCUGCUCUGCAAAACACCCCAGACAACAGAGCCGUGGUUGUGGUCUUCUCCACGGAGGGCUCUGCAUUUAACAAGCCAUGUGAAAAACUUGCUGACCCAGCCAGGUAGCAGCAAUGGGAAACGUGAGGGCAUUCCCAGCCUGCUGCUGCCAGCUAUCACGCUCAAGCCGCCUGUGCUGCAGUCCCCCUUCCUGUGAGUCAAGUGGCACGCCUUUCGGGAAAGCACCUGCUCUCAGCUGUUCAGCAUGGGGGUCAGGGGAGAAAUGAAAUGGUCUUAUACCUGACCUGGGAGACAGCCCUGUGAGCCAUGAUACACACUGAGAGCAUUAACAGGUAUGCAGACAGCCCUCUGGACACCCUCUGAAGGCUUCUGGGCUUGUGCUGAGCUCAGAGGAAGAGGAAGAGUAGGGCAGAGAGCACCAAAAAUCUUCUGAAGUGGUUUUCAAAAGUGCUGCCCAGGUAUGUGAGCAUCUCUACACAGGCCAUGGCUGAGUCAAUGUUUUCUGUAAACUGAAAAGACAAAGAAGGGAUGUCCUUUGGCUUUCUGGAACCUGGGGCCUGGCUUGGAGCAGCGUUCAACCAGAUACGGUGGAAGGGAAGCCACAUGGGGCAAGCUUUCAAAGUUCCAGGAUGCCCUCCCAGGUGUCUCCUGGAGCUGCUCAUGGCCUGGAGUCUCCAAGGAUGACAGCGGCAGCAGGAAGCACCAGAGGCUGCAUGAAACCAGUCCCUUCAGGGCAGUGCCCACAUUUGAGGCCCAGCAAGGGAAAUACCACAUAAGUGACAUCUGAGCACAAAUUGUACAGACCGUGUACAUCCAACCAAGUGAGAGACAGGUAGGUAUCAAAAAGAUAAUGUAAAUGGAUACACUUCAGAAAGUAAGACGCUAUGUACACGUGACCGCUGAAUGAAUAAACCAGACUCAAUAGGACA
RNAcentral lists this long non-coding RNA (1051 nucleotides) under Felis catus (domestic cat). Its description in RNAcentral is "lncRNA (ENSFCAG00000052291.1)". The record is from RNAcentral. Lineage: Eukaryota; Metazoa; Chordata; Mammalia; Carnivora; Felidae.